This 658-nucleotide long non-coding RNA is filed under the name Callithrix jacchus (white-tufted-ear marmoset). RNAcentral describes it as "lncRNA (ENSCJAG00000086590.1)". Lineage: Eukaryota; Metazoa; Chordata; Mammalia; Primates; Cebidae. The record is from RNAcentral.
CGGAGAGGGCGCUCCUUUUACUCACGGCAGCAACACGUCUGGCUCCGCGGGCCGCGCCUAGGCCUACAGGCCUUUCAGGGCCAAGUCCUCCAGCGGCGGGUCGGUGGCGUGCGUGGCGGCAGAAGCAGCGGCAGCGGCGACUGCUCCGGAAUCCCAAGCCCUCCGGCUUGUUUUGGCGUCUCCCGGGUUGCGGGGCUUUUAGCUGCGCCUGGCCCAGGACUCACAGCUAAACCGUCUCAGCGCCUCACCCAGCCGCCUGGGCCUCUUCCGCUCCCUUGUCGGGCCUAGCCCCGCCUCCCCGCUUCCGCCCCUCAGUGCGCCUGCGCACUGGUUCCGCGCUGACUCCUGGGGCUUCUCCCUAAUGCACUAGGGCUUCUUAACGCGCUGCUGCUUUGAGAGCGAUUGACUUUAUGAAAACGAACGGGAUGAACUAAGCUGACUUAGUGCUUCACAGGACCCAUGACUGGGAGGCCUGAGGAAACUUGCAGUUAUGGCGAAAGAUGAAGGGGAAACACGGACCUUCUUCACAUGGUGGCAAGAGGGAGAGAGAGCGAAAGGGUCCUCUGAAGGACAGUCAAGCAUGCAUCAUAUUUUCUGUACUGAUUUCUGCUCCCAGUUUUUCGCAUUAAAGAAAUAUACCAGAAAUGCAGUAUGUUAA